AACGAACGCUGGCGGCAUGCCUAACACAUGCAAGUCGAACGAGACCUUCGGGUCUAGUGGCGUACGGGUGCGUAACGCGUGGGAAUCUGCCCUUGGGUUCGGGAUAACAGUUGGAAACGACUGCUAAUACCGGAUGAUGUCUUCGGACCAAAGAUUUAUCGCCCAGGGAUGAGCCCGCGUCGGAUUAGCUAGUUGGUGAGGUAAAGGCUCACCAAGGCGACGAUCCGUAGCUGGUCUGAGAGGAUGAUCAGCCACACUGGGACUGAGACACGGCCCAGACUCCUACGGGAGGCAGCAGUGGGGAAUAUUGGACAAUGGGCGAAAGCCUGAUCCAGCAAUGCCGCGUGAGUGAUGAAGGCCUUAGGGUUGUAAAGCUCUUUUACCCGGGAUGAUAAUGACAGUACCGGGAGAAUAAGCCCCGGCUAACUCCGUGCCAGCAGCCGCGGUAAUACGGAGGGGGCUAGCGUUGUUCGGAAUUACUGGGCGUAAAGCGCGCGUA
This 499-nucleotide ribosomal RNA is filed under the name uncultured bacterium. RNAcentral describes it as "bacterial SSU rRNA". It matches the Rfam family "Bacterial small subunit ribosomal RNA", at positions 28 to 573 of the family's 1533-position model. The record is from RNAcentral.